GACGUAGGGCGCAAGCGUUGUCCGGAUUUAUUGGGCGUAAAGAGCUCGUAGGCGGCUUGCCACGUCUGCCGUGAAAACCAGAAGCUCAACUCCUGGCCUGCAUCCGAUACUGCCCGACUAGAGGUAGGUAGGGGAGAUCGGAAUUCCUGGUGUAGCGGUGAAAUGCGCAGAUAUCAGGAGGAACACCGGUGGCGAAGGCGGGUCUCUGGGCCGAUACUGACGCUGAGGAGCGAAAGCAUGGGGAGCGAACAGG
RNAcentral lists this ribosomal RNA (253 nucleotides) under uncultured bacterium. Its description in RNAcentral is "partial 16S ribosomal RNA". It matches the Rfam family "Bacterial small subunit ribosomal RNA", at positions 524 to 776 of the family's 1533-position model. The record is from RNAcentral.